RNAcentral lists this ribosomal RNA (253 nucleotides) under uncultured bacterium. RNAcentral's name for it is "partial 16S ribosomal RNA". It matches the Rfam family "Bacterial small subunit ribosomal RNA", at positions 524 to 776 of the family's 1533-position model. The record is from RNAcentral.
UACGGAGGAUGCAAGCGUUAUCCGGAAUGAUUGGGUGUAAAGCGUCCGCAGGUGGCUGUGUAAGUCUGCUGUUAAAGAGUCUAGCUCAACUAGAUACAAGCAGUGGAAACUACACGGCUAGAGUACGUUCGGGGCAGAGGGAAUUCCUGGUGUAGCGGUGAAAUGCGUAGAGAUCAGGAAGAACACCGGUGGCGAAGGCGCUCUGCUAGGCCGUAACUGACACUGAGGGACGAAAGCUAGGGGAGCGAAUGGG